This 360-nucleotide ribosomal RNA is filed under the name uncultured Cellulomonas sp. RNAcentral's name for it is "bacterial SSU rRNA". It matches the Rfam family "Bacterial small subunit ribosomal RNA", at positions 989 to 1351 of the family's 1533-position model. Lineage: Bacteria; Bacillati; Actinomycetota; Actinomycetes; Micrococcales; Cellulomonadaceae. The record is from RNAcentral.
CACCGGAAAAGCGCAGAGGUGUGCUCCCCGUAAGGUCGGUGUACAGGUGGUGCAUGGUUGUCGUCAGCUCGUGUCGUGAGAUGUUGGGUUAAGUCCCGCAACGAGCGCAACCCUUGUCCUGUGUUGCCAGCACGCAAUGGUGGGGACUCAUAGGAGACUGCCGGGGUCAACUCGGAGGAAGGUGGGGAUGACGUCAAAUCAUCAUGCCCCUUAUGUCUUGGGCUUCACGCAUGCUACAAUGGCCGGUACAAAGGGCUGCGAUACCGCGAGGUGGAGCGAAUCCCAAAAAGCCGGUUUCAGUUCGGAAUGGCGUUUGCAACUUGACCCCAUGAAGUUGGAGUCGCUAGUAAUCGCAGAUCA